UGGAGGGCAAGUCUGGUGCCAGCAGCCGCGGUAAUUCCAGCUCCAAUAGCGUAUAUUAAAGUUGUUGUGGUUAAAAAGCUCGUAGUUGAACCUUGGGCCUGGCUGGCCGGUCCGCCUCACCGCGUGUACUGGUCCGGCCGGGCCUUUCCCUCUGUGGAACCCCAUGCCCUUCACUGGGUGUGGCGGGGAAACAGGACUUUUACUGUGAAAAAAUUAGAGUGCUCCAGGCAGGCCUAUGCUCGAAUACAUUAGCAUGGAAUAAUAGAAUAGGACGUGUGGUUCUAUUUUGUUGGUUUCUAGGACCGCCGUAAUGAUUAAUAGGGACAGUCGGGGGCAUCAGUAUUCAAUUGUCAGAGGUGAAAUUCUUGGAUUUAUUGAAGACUAACUACUGCGAAAGCAUUUGCCAAGGAUGUUUUCAUUAAUCAGGAACGAAAGUUAGGGGAUCGAAGACGAUCAGAUACCGUCGUAGUCUUAACCAUAAACUAUGCCGACUAGGGAUCGGACGAUGUUAUUUUUUGACUCGUUCGGCACCUUACGGGAAAC
This 543-nucleotide ribosomal RNA is filed under the name uncultured Ascomycota. RNAcentral describes it as "SSU rRNA". It matches the Rfam family "Eukaryotic small subunit ribosomal RNA", at positions 549 to 1098 of the family's 1831-position model. Lineage: Eukaryota; Fungi; Ascomycota. The record is from RNAcentral.